Long non-coding RNA from Ictalurus punctatus (channel catfish), 655 nucleotides. The record is from Ensembl. NCBI's taxonomy places the organism in Eukaryota, Metazoa, Chordata, Actinopteri, Siluriformes, Ictaluridae.
GCUAGUGGUCUUAAAGGUGACCCUUUAAGAAAGCUGAGGGCAUUCUAUUCGAGAUGCCCUCUUUUGUAGAACGAGCCACAAUAGCUCGAGAUCACCAAGACUGGAGGUCAGCAAAGGUCAGUGAAGUUGGGCUGGAGCUCCUUUGAAUGCUCUGUCAGACACACCGAGGACAGAGUAACACCAGUAUCUGUGCUUUCUCACUGGAAGAGACAACACGGAAGUGCCGGACUCUGCCCUUCCAGCUCCUUCAAGAUUUAAUUUAACACCGGCGUUAUUUUCCUUUUCCUUCAUUUUAACAACAAAUCCCAAAUAAAGUCUCUGUAUAUAUACAACAGCUAGUAAAUGUCAUUGGUAACACCUUGUGUUUUGUUUCUAGUUUUCCUCAGAUUGUGUGGUAGAAGUCCUGCCUUCUGUGAUUCACCUCUCAGGCCCCCAUUUACCUCAGCUGUCCUCUGCGAGGAUAAACAUUGCCUGCACUAUGGGGAGAUUUUACAGUAGAUUCUUUAUCUGUAUAAACAAAGAAGAUAUACAACUGGAGUGACAUGUCCUGAGUGACAGACAAGAAUGACAAAGGCAACAGAACAGACUGAAAACAAAGACAAUAAAACAAUAGCACAUCCGGACCAAUGCCCAUGGAUGGACGACAGUCACACAC